RNAcentral lists this ribosomal RNA (1401 nucleotides) under uncultured bacterium. RNAcentral's name for it is "bacterial SSU rRNA". It matches the Rfam family "Bacterial small subunit ribosomal RNA". The record is from RNAcentral.
AGAGUUUGAUCCUGGCUCAGGAUUAACGCUGGCGGCAUGCCUAAUACAUGCAAGUCGAACGAAAAAUAUAGAAGUGCUUGCACAUUUAUAUUUUUAGUGGCGAACGGGUGAGUAAUAUAUAGAUAACCUGCCUUAAAGUUGGGGAUAACAGAGGGAAACCUCUGCUAAUACCGAAUACAAUAACUAGACGCAUGUUUAGUUAUUAAAAGGGGCUCCAAAGCCCCGCUCUAAGAGGGGUCUAUAUCGCAUUAGCUAGUUGGUAAGAUAACAGCCUACCAAGGCGAUGAUGCGUAGCUGUACUGAGAGGUAGAACAGCCACAUUGGGACUGAGAUACGGCCCAAACUCCUACGGGAGGCAGCAGUAGGGAAUUUUCGGCAAUGGGGGGAACCCUGACCGAGCAAUGCCGCGUGAUUGAAAAAGAUCUUCGGAUCGUAAAGAUCUGUUAUUAGGGAAGAAUGGAAUUGAUAGGAAAUGAUCAAUUUAUGACGGUGCCUAAUGAGGAAGCCCCGGCUAACUAUGUGCCAGCAGCCGCGGUAAUACAUAGGGGGCAAGCGUUAUCCGGAAUUAUUGGGCGUAAAGGGUGCGUAGGCGGCUAUUUAAGUUUAAGGUGUAAGUGCAAGGCUCAACCUUGUGAGGCUUUAAAAACUGGAUAGCUUGAGGUAGACAGAGGCAAGUGGAAUUCCAUGUGUAGCGGUAAAAUGCGUAAAUAUAUGGAGGAACACCAGUGGCGAAGGCGGCUUGCUGGGCCUAAACUGACGCUGAGGCACGAAAGCGUGGGGAGCAAACAGGAUUAGAUACCCUGGUAGUCCACGCCGUAAACGAUGAGUACUAAGUGUUGGAGAAAUUCAGUGCUGCAGUUAACGCAAUAAGUACUCCGCCUGAGUAGUACGUGCGCAAGCAUAAAACUCAAAGGAAUUGGCGGGACCUCGCACAAGCGGUGGAUCAUGUUGUUUAAUUCGAGGAUACGCGAAGAACCUUACCAGGCCUUGACAUCCCUUGCGAAGCUAUAGAGAUAUAGUAGAGGUUAUCAAGGAGACAGGUGGUGCAUGGUUGUCGUCAGCUCGUGUCGUGAGAUGUUGGGUUAAGUCCCGCAACGAGCGCAACUCUUAUCGUUAUUUGCCAUCAUUAAGUUGGGCACUAUAACGAGACUGCCAGUGAUAAAUUGGAGGAAGGUGGGAAUGACGUCAAAUCAUCAUGCCCCUUAUGGCCUGGGCUACAAACGUGAUACAAUGGUUGGAACAAAGGGAGGCAAAGCUGUGAAGCCAAGCGAACCCCAUAAAAACAAUCUCAGUUCGGAUUGAAGUCUGCAACUCGACUUCAUGAAGUCGGAAUCGCUAGUAAUCGUAGAUCAGAACGCUACGGUGAAUACGUUCUCGAGGUCUGCACACACCGCCCGUCAA